Fusarium graminearum is the source of this 2662-nucleotide ribosomal RNA. It matches the Rfam family "Bacterial large subunit ribosomal RNA". The record is from Rfam. NCBI's taxonomy places the organism in Eukaryota, Fungi, Ascomycota, Sordariomycetes, Hypocreales, Nectriaceae.
UCUUUACCUACAAGCCUAUAAUUAUAUUAACUCUAAGAGAAAUCUAAUAAUAAACGGAGUGAAUUGAAAUAUCUUAUUAACUUCAGGAAAAGAAAUCAAAAGAGAUUCUAUGAUUAGCGUGAGCUAAAAUAGAGUAGCCUAGAAAGUCAAAUGGUGGAUAAACUGUUUAAAUUUAAUGGGGAACCUUCCUCAAAGGCUAAAUAUAAUAUGUAAGCGAUAGUGGAAAGUACCGUGAGGGAACCAAAACAAAAACAGUGAUUUUAUAAGCAGUUCGGAAAAAUAAAAAAGUUAGAACGUACCUUUUGCAUAAUGGGUCACCAAGUUAACAUUAGAUGCGAGAUUCUACGUAGUUAAACCGAGCGUUAAAAUAACGGUAAGUGUCUAAAGUUAGACCCGAAGCCUGGUGAUUUUACCAUAAUCAGGAUUAUAAAAGUCCGAACGGAAUAUUGUAGCAUAAAUAUCCGAAGAAUUAUGGUAGGUGUAGUGAAAGACAAUACUGACCAGGAUAGCUGGUUUUCUGCGAAACCUAUAACAGUAGGCAAUUUAAGUAUAAUAUCUUAGCAGGUACAGAAUUUAAUCUCAGACAAGACAUAAGGCUUAACUUGUUAACAAGUUAAGCCCAUGUUUUAUUUUGUACAAAUUGGGGGAUCAUGAAGAUUUUAUCAGUGAGUAUGUAGACUCGGAAUGGCAAAGAUAUAUCUUAAAUCAUCAGACAUAGAAUGAUAAGGUUGUAUGUCAAAAGGGAAACAGCCCAGAACAAGAGUUAAGGUUCCUAAAUUAUUAGUUGAGUGAAAUUAAGAAGGUUUUUAUUAAAGUCGACAAGGAGAUAGGCUUAGAAGCAGCCAUAAUUUUAUGACCUCGUAACAGAGCGCUUGUUAAGUUUUAAAAGCAUCGAAAAUUUAUCGGAUCUAAACAAUAUACCGAAACCUUGUCCAUAUUAUUUUAUAAUUAAUAGUCUCAGCAAGCUCGGACUAUACAAUUAUAAUUAAAUGGGGUAGCAGAACGUUGAGCUAAAUUAAGAUUUUUAUUUUUUAAAUGAAAUUAUAAUAAUUUAACUCAAGUGAUAAUGGUGACAUGAGUAACUAAAAGAAAAUUUUCCGCCUAAAGCUUAUGGAUGUAAUUAAGUAACGGCCUCUAAGUUUAUGGAAUCAAAAGAUUAAAACGAUGAGACAAUCUUUCAUACUAAGGACGACAUUUUAAGUGCAAAAUGUACUGGAAAAAUAGUAAUAAGUUUAAGCUAUGGCUAGAACUAGCUAUAGCUGUAAAUGGAAAGUAACCGUACCUAGAAUCUGAAACAAGUAAGCUAGUAGAGAAUACGAAGGCGUAAAUGAGCUAACAAUCAUAAAGGAACUCGGCAAAUUGACUACCGUAACUUCGGGAUAAGGAGAGCUCAUUAUUCUUGAUUAAUAUCAGGUAAAGAGGAAGAAGCAUGAAAUAGUGUUGUACGACUGUUUAAUUAAAACACAGCACUUUGCUGAAAGAUUAAAAAUCUAAGUAUAGAGUGUGAUGUCUGCCCGGUGCCGGCUGGUUAACAGAUAUAAUUAAAUAUACUAAUAUUUGAUGUAGACGGAAACCCCGGUUAAAGGCGGCCUUAACGUGAGGGUCCUAAGGUAGCGAAAUGCCUUGGCCGUUAAAUGCGGUCUUGCAUGAAUGAUGUAACGAUACAACAGCUGUCUCUAUGAUUGACUCAGUGAAAUUGGAAUAGCUGUGCAGAUACAGUUUACCUCUAGUUAGACGAGAAGACCCUAUGCAGCUUUACUGUCACUAAUUAUAGAGUAUGAUAAACAAUUUUCAGUUUAUAAGGUAAUUGACGGCCGGCUUGCUUAGCAAGCUGGCUCUAUGACAAUGAGAAUCCUUUAUUUUUUUUUCAUAUGAAUGAAUUGGUUUAGGACGAGCUUAAGCUCGUAGUAAAUCAACCUAAUUCAGCUUAUUUUCCUUUCUGCUGUAAGCGCAUAAUGAUAGAUUAUACUUAAAUUUGGAUUUAUGCCUGCAGAAAUAGAUAAGUACCCUUGGUUAAGGAACUAUCGCUAGGGGACAGUUUAUGUGGGGCACAGACCCUGUAAAGAGUAAACAGGAGUGUCUAAUAAUUUAUAAUUAUUUUGUUUGCGAUUUAAGGUAGUAGAACUAUUUUUAAUCAUAUAAAAUUAUUUAUAUGUACAUUCGUUGUAUAUAUAUUUAAAAAAAGGUAGGAUUUUCACUAUAUAGAAAUUAGAGAUAAUAAAAAUAUUAAGUAGUAGCUGCUGAGUCCUAAUCCCGCCGAAGGGGGGAUAUGGACUACUAUGUAUUUCAUAGCAAGCUCGCACUAAUAUUUUUUAACUAUUAAGACUGGCUAUCUAGCUAUGCUCUAAUAGUUAUGUUUUAAUUAUCUAAAAAGCUCAACGGCUAAAUCUUGCCUUACUGUUUGAUUAUCAACAAAUCUUACAGUUGCGUAAGCAGGGCAUAGGAUCACAAGAUGCAACAAGGAAAGAUCUUGGAUUAUUGGAAAAGCUACGCUAGGGAUGUUUGUCCUUUAAUAUUUUAUUUCACUGUGGUAUGGGUCAUAGUCCUACGGACUCAGCUUUUUUUAAAAAAAAAAUACGAGCUUGCUAUGAAGAGCGGACUUCGUUCUAGCGAAGCUAGCCCCCUAUUCCCUAUUCCCUGACCCCCUACGGGGGUAGGGAAU